RNAcentral lists this ribosomal RNA (704 nucleotides) under Licmophora paradoxa. Its description in RNAcentral is "partial Bacterial large subunit ribosomal RNA". It matches the Rfam family "Bacterial large subunit ribosomal RNA", at positions 1251 to 1949 of the family's 2925-position model. Lineage: Eukaryota; Bacillariophyta; Fragilariophyceae; Licmophorales; Licmophoraceae. The record is from RNAcentral.
UGAAGGUGUCUCGUAAGGGAUGCUGGAGGUAUCGGAAGUGCGAAUGCUGACAUGAGUAGCGAUAAAGGGGGUGAAAAGCCCCCUCGCCGAAAGCCCAAGGUUUCCUGCGCAACGUUCAUCGGCGCAGGGUGAGUCGGCCCCUAAGGCGAGGCAGAGAUGCGUAGUCGAUGGGAAACAGGUUAAUAUUCCUGUACUUUAAUAUAAUGCGAUGUGGGGACGGAGAAGGUUAGGUCAGCCGGGUGUUGGAUGUCCCGGUUCAAGCGUGUAGGUUGGUUCUUUAGGCAAAUCCGGAGAGCUAAGAUCGAGACGUGAUAACGAGUGUACUUUGUACAUGAAGUGAUUGAUACCAUGCUUCCAAGAAAAGCCACUAAGCUUCAGUUAUAUUAAAACCGUACCGCAAACCGACACAGGUGGGCAGGAUGAGAAUUCUAAGGCGCUUGAGAGAACUCUAGAGAAGGAACUCGGCAAAAUAACACCGUAACUUCGGGAGAAGGUGUGCCCCGGUAGUGUGUAGCGAUUUACUCGUGAAGCACGAUGGGGUUGCAGUGAAAAGGUGGCUGCGACUGUUUAAUAAAAACAUAGCACUGUGCUAACACGAAAGUGGACGUAUACGGUGUGACGCCUGCCCGGUGCUGGAAGAUUAAAUGAUGGGGUGCAAGCUCUUGAUUGAAGUCCCAGUAAACGGCGGCCGUAACAAUAACGGU